Molecule: ribosomal RNA, 1090 nt
Filed under: uncultured Nitrososphaerota archaeon
Lineage: Archaea; Thermoproteati; Nitrososphaerota
Description: bacterial SSU rRNA
Rfam family: Archaeal small subunit ribosomal RNA
Source: RNAcentral
CGCCCUUUUCCGGUUGAUCCUGCCGGACCCGACUGCUAUCGGAUUGAGAUUUAGCCAUGCGAGUCGAACGCCCUCCGAGUGCGGGGGGCGUGGCGUACGGCUCAGCAACACGUAGUCAACCUGCCCUAGAGAUGCCGACAACCCCGGGAAACUGGGUCUAAUCGGCGAUAGGUCACCUCAUCUGGAAGGAGAGAUGGCCGAAAGGGGUUUUGCGAGCUUCUUUCGCAUAAUCCGCUCUAGGAUGGGACUGCGGCCGAUCAGGCUGUUGGCGGGGUAAAGGCCCACCAAACCUGUAACCGGUACGGGUCUUGAGAGAGAGGGCCCGGAGAUGGACACUGAGACAAGGGUCCAGGUCCUACGGGGCGCAGCAGGCGCGAAACCUUCGCAAUGCGCGAAAGCGUGACGAGGUUAGUCCGAGUGGCUUCCGCUGAGGAGGUCUUUUGUCGGCUGUAAAAAGGCCGGCGAAUAAGGGGAGGGCAAGUCUGGUGUCAGCCGCCGCGGUAAUACCAGCUCCUCGAGUGGUCGGGGCGAUUAUUGGGCCUAAAGCAUCCGUAGCUUGUUCCGUAGGUCUUCUGAUAAAUCCAACCGCUCAACGGUUGGCCCGCAGGAGAUACCGCGGGACUAGGAGGCGGGAGAGGUGGACGGUACUCCACGUGUAGGGGUAAAAUCCUUUGAUCCGUGGAAGACCACCAGUGGCGAAGGCGGUCCACCAGAACGCGCUCGACGGUGAGGGAUGAAAGCUGGGGGAGCGAACCGGAUUAGAUACCCGGGUAGUCCCAGCCGUAAACGAUGCGAGCUAGAUGAUCCGGUCGCAAAUCGCGAUCGGAGUGUCGCAGGGAAGCCGUUAAGCUCGCCGCCUGGGGAGUACGGUCGCAAGGCUGAAACUUAAAGGAAUUGGCGGGGGAGCACCACAAGGGGUGAAGCCUGCGGUUCGAUUGGAGUCAACGCCAGGAAACUUACCAGGAGAGACAGCAGGUUGAGGGUCAGGCUGAAGACCUUACCUGACGAGCUGAGAGGAGGUGCAUGGCCGUCGCCAGCUCGUGCCGUGAGGCGUCCUGUUAAGUCAGGCAACGAGCGAGACCAAGGGCGA